This 468-nucleotide ribosomal RNA is filed under the name uncultured bacterium. Its description in RNAcentral is "partial 16S ribosomal RNA". It matches the Rfam family "Bacterial small subunit ribosomal RNA", at positions 28 to 507 of the family's 1533-position model. The record is from RNAcentral.
GACGAACGCUGGCGGCGUGCUUAACACAUGCAAGUCGAACGGAAAGGCCCUGCUUUUGUGGGGUGAUCGAGUGGCGCACGGGUGAGUAACACGUGAGUAACCUGCCCUUGACUUUGGGAUAACUUCAGGAAACUGAGGCUAAUACCGGAUAGGAGCUCCUGCUGCAUGGUGGGGGUUGGAAAGUUUCGGCUGUUGGGGAUGGACUCGCGGCUUAUCAGCUUGUUGGUGGGGUGGUGGCUGACCAAGGCAUUGGCGGGUAGCCGGCCUGAGAGGGUGACCGGCCACAUGGGGACUGAGAGACGGCCCAGACGCCAACGGGAGGCAGCAGUGGGAAAUAUUGCACAAUGGGCGGAAGCCUGAUGAGGCAACGCCGCGUGCGGGAUGACGGCUUUCGGGUUGUAAACCGCUUUCGCCUGUGACGAAGCGUGAGUGACGGUAAUGGGAAAAGAAGCACCGGCUAACUACGUG